Lolium rigidum is the source of this 1890-nucleotide long non-coding RNA. RefSeq lists it as uncharacterized. Lineage: Eukaryota; Viridiplantae; Streptophyta; Magnoliopsida; Poales; Poaceae. The transcript is spliced from 5 exons. The record is from RefSeq and is a predicted model, not a curated record.
UAAUUGGUUAGCUCAAAAGGUAGGGUACAUGUAAUAACUAAUGCAACAUACCUAAUGGAGCUUUAUGUUUUUAAUAUUUCCCAUAACAACAUGAUAAGGAAAAAUAUAGGAGUUUUUGUUGCAAGGAUUAUAGACUUUUGUAUUCUACUAUAUUGGUUACUAAGAUGAUUUCCUUCAAGACGAUUCAUACAAAGAAAAUGGAAGUUUCAAAUAUAUUAUGGUUAUAAAACCAGCCUAUAUAUUACUUCCGCACUGACGCCACACUGACACCGGUAGAGCAGCUCAUGCAUAUGUAAUCAAAAUAAACAACAACUAAAUCUCUAAAUUUCGUGAUCAUAGCUACAAAAUUACAGCGGCGAAUAUGUAGCUCAGUUUUGCGAAGUGCUACUUUGUAAGGAUGCAUUUGGAAAGACACCUGAUAAGAUAAGAUAAAUUGGGAAAGUGUUUAGUGAAGAGAGAAUCAGGGUCAUGUCAUGUGGAUCUGACGAGCUAAACUGUAAUAGCAAGUGCUAGACUUUAAGCCCGCAUCUGCAAAUUAUCUAGCAUUUCACAUUAGUCGUAUGGCAAUUAAAUCUAAAAAUACCAUUCUUCCUGAAAUAUUAUUGCUCACUCAAAAAAUUAUAUUCAAUAACCAGAUCUAAUAUAGUUGUAGUUUGUUUUGACAUUUGAUGCAACAAAUAUCAUAUUGAUUCCUUAGAUCUCCACCCCAAGGUUCGGGCUCAUAGAUUGUUCUUUACUACUAUUAAUAUGUGAUACUGAAAAUGAAUAUCAUUGGUUGUUUGUUGUUGACGUCAAGGCCUUUAAUAUGAACAGAGGUACAUAUAUCUAGGUUUCUAAAGAACCAAAUACAGUGUUAUUGUUAAUAGCCUUUGCUAUAUGUUUUUCAUAGCAGAGUCUUGUAGCUCUAUUUCAAAGAGCUAUGGAUGUACCCGUUCUGGUGUUCAACCUGAUAUUGAUGUGUGAUCAACGGGAAGAUGAGGGUGCAGCUGAAUCACGUGUGGCUCCGACAGCGCGCGGGAGUCGUAUCCACUGGGGUGCAAGCCGAGGGAACGAACCAGAGCAGAGAGCUUGACCUGGGUCUCUUCUCCUCCACAACGACAAGGUGGACCAGAUGAGCAGCCGGUCAUAAGUCGCAUGGUGGUGCUAGACUGGCCCUUGUGCUCCUUCUCAGCUGGGAACGGGCAAAACGGUCUCCCCUGCUCUCCCACUGGUAUAUUGAUGCUAGCAAGCUCAACGAUUUGAUGAUAUGCAAUGACACAUAUUGCUUGAUCGAUGCGAUCCUUUUUAUGAUCAUGGACGAUGAAAAACUUUAUGGUGGCGACUAGCGGAAAACUUGAAUGGCAACACAACCGGGAAGGAGCUGCUCACCUGAGCGUCUGCCAAGGCUGCUUCCAUCAGCAACCGUAUAUAAUUUCAGCUUCACGGUGUGUGGGCAUGCUCAAUUCUGCGGAGCACAUCACUACAACCUGGAGAGUUCCAAACACGGUUUACAUUUCAUGCUGUUACAGUCACGCGGUUCAGUAGAUGCUUCUCCAAGUAGUAAGAAACAGGGAUCUCGCUGGGAUAAUACUGCAUCUGCAGUUCAGGGAUCCCAGUGGGUGUCACCGGGAUAAUACUGCAUCUCCCUGAAUUUAUGGAAGUUUCCUUUUCUUUUGCUUUUAAAUUAUAAAGUGCACUUCAUUGCGCAGGAUGGAACUGAGCACGCAGUCAGAAUAUUUCGUACUACCAUUUAGAUUUACACAAAUGUGAUAAGAUUUUCCAGAGUUUAAUUUUCUAGGGUUAUAGUUGAUGCUAAACCCUUCUAGAAUAAGAUGGAAAAAGUUCAGACCACUCAUGAAAAGUAUAUUCAUAUUAACAUUAAGAUUUAUGCAGGUCUGAUAUGCUUUAUAA